RNAcentral lists this ribosomal RNA (207 nucleotides) under uncultured bacterium. RNAcentral's name for it is "partial 16S ribosomal RNA". It matches the Rfam family "Bacterial small subunit ribosomal RNA", at positions 568 to 774 of the family's 1533-position model. The record is from RNAcentral.
CUCGUAGGCGGUUCGUCGCGUCCGGUGUGAAAGUCCAUCGCUUAACGGUGGAUCCGCGCCGGGUACGGGCGGGCUUGAGUGCGGUAGGGGAGACUGGAAUUCCCGGUGUAACGGUGGAAUGUGUAGAUAUCGGGAGGAACACCAGUGGCGAAGGCGGCUUCCUGGCACACAACUGACGCUCAUGUGCGAAAGCCAGGGCAGCGAACG